Molecule: long non-coding RNA, 324 nt
Organism: Helianthus annuus (common sunflower)
Lineage: Eukaryota; Viridiplantae; Streptophyta; Magnoliopsida; Asterales; Asteraceae
Exons: 3
Source: RefSeq, a predicted model, not a curated record
GUCGAGAACCAGGAAGGAGAAAAGGGGGAAACCCCUUAUCAUCACAAAAUUCACCAAAUUGAAGCCCUAAAUGUGAUCCUAAGUUCGUGCAUGUCUUGAUUUUAGAUCAUCUACGCAUUCUUGAACACAAGGAAUAAAAGAAGAAGGUUCAAACCGUUCCGGAUCGCAAGCAAAUAGCGACAAAGGUAAAGCAACUUGUUAAUGGCGCUACUUGGAUCGAACACACUCAAGAUGCACGCUUCCGCAAAGAUCCUAGCUAUGGUUUAAACUUUUGUUAAGUGAUGUCUUUUGUUAAAAACGGGUCUUUUGUAAGUAACUUAACCC